UCUCUGUGUCUGGUGGUGGAGGAGGAGUUUGGAAGUGAGUGGUAGCUACAGUUCUGGAGGUGGAGGUGGCAGCUACGGUUCCAGCUCUGGAGGAGGCAGAUAUAGCUCCAGUGGUGGAGGUGGCAGCUAUGGCUCUGGAGGAGGCAGAGGUUCUGGCUCUGGAGGAGGAAGGGGCUCCGGUUCUGGAGGAGGCAGCUAUGGAUCCUCAGGAGGUCGGGGCUCCAGCUCCGGAGGAGGAGGCAGCAGCAGCUCUGGUGGUGGCUCUGGGGGUGUCAAGAGCUCCAGUGGCAGUUCUAGCAUGAAAGUCACCUCUACCAGUUAUUCUACAGCCACCAAUUAAAGCCAGAGCUCCCUACCCUGCUAGCUGUCCUUUAGAUCAAUGUCUGUGUUUGUUUUCAGUCAAUUCUUGAAGUCAAAGACUUCAACUUUACUUGAGGAAAAUAAAAAGUAGUGGACUGCAGCAGUUCAUCUUGUUUUCCUAAAGCCCUCUAAUUUCUUUCUCUGAUCUUGAUUCUUAAAGGUUUUUUUGAGUUAUCCAACCAGUGGGCACCUCCACCUCUUGAGUUCCACUGAGCUUCAUCUCUGUGGGUACAUAGGAAGGGUUGCUGAUGAUCCUGGCCUUUUAGAGCCAUGUUCUCCCCAUUUUUCCCUUUGGUAGCUAUUCUCUAUCCUGGCCUACAUCAUCAGGUUUUCUCUCCUCCUGUGUCUUGACUACUGAAGCCAUAUCUGAGUAUGAAAGACCACUUCCCUUGAUUAAUCAUGAGGCUGCAGCUUGAAAAAAAUCCACAUUCAUCACUGCCCACUCUACAUUUCAAAAGUUUUCCCCAAGCCAAACAGGAGAGCCAUUUCAAUCCACCCCAGGGAGUGUGUCUCCAUCGUAUAGCAACAAAUUCUGUGUUGUUGUUGUUGUUUUUGUACAAGAUGUAACCUGGUUGGAUGACUUUCCUGGAAGAAGUCUCAAAGUCUCUGUUUUCUUGUGUGUCUCCAAUAAAUUGCAUUUAAAAUUUGCAAAUUUGUCUUUUGAGUAUUUUUCAUGAGAAAGCCAUCUCUCUCUUAAGACUCACUGGUAAACUGUGGUAUAAAGUCCCUAGUAGAGGCAUGGCUUAUAAUAAAGUCUAAAAGACAGAAUACACUCAAUUGAAAAUACAGGAAAGUUUGUACUAUAACAUCAAACAUAGCUGAUGAAUGUAAUACAAGUCAGGUUUAGAUAUACUGAGGGAACAUUGAGUAAAUGGAAUUGAGCUAGGCUAAUUAGAAUAGGCUUACAAGUUGUCAAAUGACAGAGUGUAUAGAGCAUUUAAUUAAUUAAGGAAGACCUGAGUUCAGUCUUAAACACUUACUAGCUAUGUGUCCCUGGGCAAAUCAUUAACCCAUUCCCCUAGUUUCUAAAAAUGUAAAAUAAUAACAGCUAGCUCCCCUGGCUCUUGUGAAGAUGAAAUAAAAUAAUACUUAUAAAGGGCUUUGCAAAUCUUUCAAUUCCAUGCAAAUUUUUUUUGUAUUUGAAACGGCAGGAAAUCUCAACAUAAUUUAUGUUGUUUAUUCAUUCUAUCUUCAACUGCCUUUUAGUUAUCUCCAACUGAAUGAUCCUUAGACUCCUUAAACUCACCUUGUGCAAAACUGAGCAUGAUCUUUCCCCCUAAACCUUCCACUCUCUCUCACUUCCCAAUUUCUGUCGAGGAUACCACCAUUAUCUCAAGCAUCUAGACUCACAACCAAGAGGUUCUUCUUCAACUCAUUUUCUCCCUUCCAAUCAGUGGUCCAAUCAGUUCUUUCAUUUUUACCUUCAUAAUUGCUCCUUCACUUCUCUAAUACUGUAACCAUCUUAAUGAAGGUCCUUAGCAUUUCACAUGUAGAUUACUGCAUUCACCUUUUGGUUGAUCUCCCUGCCUCAAGUAUCUGCUGACUCCAGUCCAUCUCUCACUUUAGAACCAUAUCACAAGAAACUUUAAUGGCUUCCUGUUAGCUCCAGGAGCAAUAAAAAGUCCUUGUUUGGCAUUCAAAGCCCUUCAGAAUUUAGCCACCUUCUUCCUUUCCAAUCUUCUUACAUCUUUACACAAGUAGUCUUCCACACACAACAUUCCAUUGGCCAUCUCUGGAUAUUGUCACUGUGUUCCCCCAGACCUGAGAUAUUCUCAUUUGUGAUUUCUGCCUCCUGCAUUCCUUGGCUUCAUUAAAGUCUCAGCUGAAUUGUCAUCUUCUCCAGAAGUCUUUUUAAAAUGUCUGUUAAUCCAAGCACCUUUUCUCUGUUCAUUAUUUUCCAUUUAUCCUGUUUUCUUACAGUUUACUCCAUGUUUUCUCCUUCAUUAAAUCAUGAGUUUCAUGAGGACAGA
Sarcophilus harrisii (Tasmanian devil) is the source of this 2330-nucleotide long non-coding RNA. Lineage: Eukaryota; Metazoa; Chordata; Mammalia; Dasyuromorphia; Dasyuridae. The record is from Ensembl.